This 333-nucleotide long non-coding RNA is filed under the name Gossypium barbadense (sea-island cotton). RNAcentral's name for it is "long non-coding RNA (GBAR_LNC000272)". The record is from RNAcentral. Lineage: Eukaryota; Viridiplantae; Streptophyta; Magnoliopsida; Malvales; Malvaceae.
UCCUUUCUCUCCAUCUGCAUCUUCUAGUUUAAAGGUUUGAGUUCAGUUUUUUGUUUCGGCUAUGGGGUUGCUCAUGGAUUUUCCAUUCCUUUGAUCGAAGGCGCCUGGAAUGGAUCAUCUGUUUCUCGACCUACUCAUUGAUCUUUUCUGGCCGUUUAUUUUUAUAUGUUGUUAAGCUUUUUAGUUUUGUAGCUCUUGGUGGUUAAUUUGAAGUUGGUUUGUUUUGGAGCCAUUAAAUCUCUUGCCCGGAAUCACUGACACUUCCCUGAGUAUGGGGAAGACUGGCUGGUUCUUGCUAAAGCUUCAGAUCCCUCUGGUGAUUGGUUGUUCCCC